UGAGUACGAGAUGCUACGGCAUCGAAGCAGUCUAUGUCAUACUUCCAAGAAAAGCUUGCACUGUCAUAAACAAAGAAUGCCUGUACCAUAACCGACACAGGUGGGUAGGUAGAGUAUACUAAGGGGCGCGAGAUAACUCUCUCUAAGGAACUCGGCAAAAUGACUCCGUAACUUCGGGAGAAGGAGUGCCUUAUUUCUAAGGUUGCAACAACAAGAUCCAAGCAACUGUUUACCAAAAACACAGGUCUCCGCUAAGUCGUAAGACGAUGUAUGGGGGCUGACGCCUGCCCAGUGCCAGAAGGUUAAAGAAGUUGGUUAGCAUUAGCGAAGCUGAUAACUGAAGCCCUGGUGAACGGCGGCCGUAACAAUAACGGUCCUAAGGUAGCGAAAUUCCUUGUCGGGUAAGUUCCGACCCGCACGAAAGGCGUAAUGAUUUGGAUACUGUCUCGGAGAGGGGCUCGGUGAAAUAGACUUGUCUGUGAAGAUGCGGACUACCUGCACCUGGACAGAAAGACCCUAUGAAGCUUUACUGUAACUUGAGAUUGAAAUUGGACUAUAUUUGCGCAGUAUAGGUGGGAGGCGUUGAGAAUAAUCUUGCGGGAUUGUUGGAGCCAUCAGUGAGAUACCACUCUUGUAAUGUUAGAUUUCUAACUUUGUAUCAUUAUCUGGUCAAAGAACAGUUUCAGGCGGGCAGUUUGACUGGGGCGGUCGCCUCCCAAAGGGUAACGGAGGCGCACAAAGGUUUCCUCUGAACGGGUAGAAAUCGUAUCUAGAGUGUAAAGGCAUAAGGAAGCUUGACUGUGAGACCUACAAGUCGAGCAGGGACGAAAGUCGGUCUUAGUGAUCUGACGGUGCUGAGUGGAAAGGCCGUCACUCAACGGAUAAAGUUACUCUAGGAUAACAGGCUGAUCUCCCCCAAGAGUUCACAUCGACGGGGAGGUUUGGCACCUCGAUGUCGGCUCAUCGCAUCCUGGGGCGGUAGUCCGUCCCAAGGGUUGGGCUGUUCGCCCAUGAAAGCGGUACGCGAGCUGGGUUCAGAACGUCGUGAGACAGUUCGGUCCAUAUCCGGUGUAGGCAUUAGAAUAUUGAGAGGAGCCUUCUCUAGUACGAGAGGACCGAGAAGGACAUACCUCUGGUGUACCAGUUAUCGUGCCAACGGUAAACGCUGGGUAGCUAUGUAUGGAGUGGAUAACCGCUGAAAGCAUCUAAGUGGGAGGCCCACCUCAAGAUAAGUAUUCUC
Molecule: ribosomal RNA, 1240 nt
Filed under: metagenome
Description: bacterial LSU rRNA
Rfam family: Bacterial large subunit ribosomal RNA
Source: RNAcentral